RNAcentral lists this ribosomal RNA (405 nucleotides) under uncultured bacterium. RNAcentral's name for it is "partial 16S ribosomal RNA". It matches the Rfam family "Bacterial small subunit ribosomal RNA", at positions 30 to 526 of the family's 1533-position model. The record is from RNAcentral.
AUUGAACGCUGGCGGCAGGCCUAACACAUGCAAGUCGAACGAGUGGCGGACGGGUGAGUAAUUUUUGGGAAUCUAGCUUAUGGAGGGGGAUAACUACUGGAAACUGUAGCUAAUACCGCGUACCAUAAGAUGUGCCCAAGUGGGAUUAGGUAGUUGGUGGGGUAAAGGCUCACCAAGCCGACGAUCUCUAGCUGGUCUGAGAGGAUGACCAGCCACACUGGGACUGAGACACGGCCCAGACUCCUACGGGAGGCAGCAGUGGGGAAUAUUGCGCAAUGGGGGCAACCUGACGCAGCCAUGCCGCGUGAAUGAAGAAGGCCUUCGGGUUGUAAAGUUCUUUCGGUAGGGAGGCGUUAACUACAGAAGAAGCACCGGCUAACUCCGUGCCAGCAGCCGCGGUAAUUC